AAAUGGCUUUGUCAUGCAAAUGUGGCUCUAAGCCACUUUCAUAUAAAGCCAGCUUAAUGCCCAACAGCCACUGACCCUCCCUCGUCCGUUAGGCAGCGUCUGCCCCGUCCUUGAAGAAACAGGGACGGUGGCGCUGGGGCAGAUGUUGGCUCCGGCCACCAUGCCGAAGUGGUGUGACCUUACAGCGCUGAAAGGAGUCGUGUCCCUGUAGUCCUCCCCACCCCACCCCCCAAAAUAAGGCCUCUCUCUUUCACGAAACGAGAUUUCCUGCCAAUCCGUCCCCGUUGCCCUCAGAAAACAUCCCCAGUACUUCUCGGUCCCGGUCCUCCCUGCUCGCAGCUACUACGCGGCAUAAGCCGGGUUUCUGCUGUGCCGAAAAACACAUUUUGGUUUUCUUUGCAGGCUGGUACUAACUUUAGGUAGCAGCCGGCAGAGUGUGCUGUGAACGCUACGAAAAGGACACCCCACUGCUGGGAAUUUUUAAGAUAUACGUACAUACAGAGAUACAGAUACAUAUAUUUAAUCGCGGAUGAAGACAUCUUAAGUGGUUCAAAUAUCUGCAUGAGCAGUUGGUAGUUCCUCCUGUCAAUUACAAUACUGGUCUCGUCACAGAUCACAGAACCUCCUCCUUAAAAAUUAAUAGCCGAGUCAUACUAAACUGCCCGCUUCCAGCAAGAUUGCUUUUCAGUGUUUGUGCAAAGUUGGAAACUCGCCACAAUGAACGUGUCCGGACACCUUUCACGGUCACAGAAAAGGGUCUGCAGCACGAGGUGUUUAAUAGAUGAAAAUUCAAAUUGUAAUCCUGGCCUACCGGAAGCAGCUUACGAAACGGAGCAGCAUGAGCAUACAUUUCUGCAGCCUCAUUACGCUCUCCUUUGGACUUACCGACGGUAGAGUUACAGAGAGAUUAAUAAAUGCAUUAGAAAGAUUGCCACAAAGCUGCAGGCUUUUGUUGUUGAUUGCCAAUACAAAAAGAGAAAUCCUCUUUCGCUGUUUCACCAGGAAAAUGAUCUUCCUCUUCCUUGUGCAUAAAGAGUGGCAAACUGUCGCAAAAUGGCAAACAAGUUCUGUAACUGUGGCAUAGCAGCCUUUGAUGGUUCAGUAUCUUCAAUGCAAGGAAUAAAAACACUGUAGGAAAGUAGGAGUAUAUGUAUUUUAUUCUGAAACUUAAGAUGGAGGCGGGGGUUGCGGGAGGGGGGUGGCCUUCUUGCCCCACCAGUGGCUGGUAUAGGAGGUGUAAUAGAAGUGGCUUUGAAGACUUGUCUCAAUUGUCAUGAAGCUGAGCUUUUCAGGCUUUGGGGCUUUUUCUUCCAAAUGGGCUAGGCUUGUCAUGUGUAGGGAUAUUUGCAUGUCAAUAAAAGAGAUGUGUGUAUUGGCAUUUUUUUCUUCAAUAUUGCG
This is a long non-coding RNA of Melopsittacus undulatus (budgerigar), 1398 nucleotides long. NCBI's taxonomy places the organism in Eukaryota, Metazoa, Chordata, Aves, Psittaciformes, Psittaculidae. The record is from Ensembl.